UACUAAGAAGCUAAAUCAGGACCCAGCAUUAGCCUUUUAAGCUAAAAAUUGGGGGCCCCCAACCCCCCUUAGUAA
Molecule: transfer RNA, 75 nt
Filed under: Eurypharynx pelecanoides (pelican eel)
Lineage: Eukaryota; Metazoa; Chordata; Actinopteri; Anguilliformes; Eurypharyngidae
Description: tRNA-Lys
Rfam family: tRNA
About the family: Transfer RNA (tRNA) molecules are approximately 80 nucleotides in length.
Source: RNAcentral